RNAcentral lists this long non-coding RNA (962 nucleotides) under Nicotiana tabacum (common tobacco). Its description in RNAcentral is "long non-coding RNA (NTAB_LNC002491)". Lineage: Eukaryota; Viridiplantae; Streptophyta; Magnoliopsida; Solanales; Solanaceae. The record is from RNAcentral.
CCCUGAAAUUUAGUUUACUCUCCACAUAGACUUUAAUUAAUUUGGGAUGAAUGAUAAAGGAUUUUACAUAAACACAUGUUAGACACAGCCAUUUUCAUGCAUAUAUAUUAACAGUUCAUUUGCAUUGUCGGGUAUAUAACUUAAAAAUGCAUUCAGCCAAAAAAUCCAUGAUUAUGGGUAAUUUUAUUUAUAAGGUGGGAAUUAACAUUUUUGUCUUUUUAGAUGUUUUUACUCCAAAUGGUGAGAGAGAAAAGAGGUGUUGGGGGUUAAAGGAAAAUGAUUUUUUUCCUCACAUAGUAACAAAAAAAAUUAACUUUUUUCACGGAAAUGUAUGAGAUCAGAGAGAGAGAGAGAGAGAGAGAGAGAGAGCAAAAACAAAGAGGACAAACAAAAUGAACUAUGUANNNNNNNNNNNNNNNUUAACUUUUUUCACGGAAAGAAAUAAUUUGAGGAAUCAGAGAGAGAGAGAGAGAGAGAGAGAGAGAGAGCAAAAACAAAGAGGCAAACAAAAUGAACUAUGUAUCAAUAAUUGAUGAAAACCAGGGAAUCUUCUCUGCCAUUUUCUCUUAGUUUUCACCACUUGAUUGAACUAUCCACAAAUUGAUCAGCCAUAAAAGUCAAGCAAAUAAAAAAAAUUAAAAUAAAAUAUAUCAAAUAAACAUAGCUUCCCAUUAAAUUCACUAAAUAUAUAUAUGAAUGUAGAAAUUGAGAAAAUCCAAAAUUUUCUCCUUUUACAUUUUUCAAGAAGUAAUAGAAGAAAAAAAUUAUGACAGGCUUCCAUAGCUUAAAUAUACAAAAGUUAAAGAAAAAUGUGGAUCUAGUUUUUCAUAACUAAUCAUAAAAAUUCAAUUAAAACCCAUAAUUCUUCUCUAAAUUUGAAUUUGCUAUAUAUAAGUGUUAUAGGUACUCAGAGAAUUCACAUAAAGUAUGCCAAAUUAUGGAGUCGUUUAACUCAUGAGCAA